Molecule: ribosomal RNA, 208 nt
Filed under: uncultured Bacteroides sp.
Lineage: Bacteria; Pseudomonadati; Bacteroidota; Bacteroidia; Bacteroidales; Bacteroidaceae
Description: partial 16S ribosomal RNA
Rfam family: Bacterial small subunit ribosomal RNA
Source: RNAcentral
AGCGUAGGUUGACAUAUAAGUCAGCUGUGAAAGUUUACGGCUCAACCGUGAAAUUGCAGUUGAUACUGUAUGUCUUGAGUGUACAAGAGGUGGGCGGAAUUCGUGGUGUAGCGGUGAAAUGCUUAGAUAUCACGAAGAACUCCAAUUGCGAGGGCAGCUCACUGGGGUACAACUGACACUGAGGCUCGAAAGUGUGGGUAUCAAACAG